Molecule: ribosomal RNA, 359 nt
Filed under: uncultured bacterium
Lineage: Bacteria
Description: partial 16S ribosomal RNA
Rfam family: Bacterial small subunit ribosomal RNA
Source: RNAcentral
CCUACGGGUGGCAGCAGUGAGGAAUAUUGGUCAAUGGGCGGAAGCCUGAACCAGCCAAGUAGCGUGCGGGAUGAAGGCCCUACGGGUCGUAAACCGCUUUUGCACGGGGAUAACACCCUCCACUUGUGGAGGUCUGCAGGUACCGUGCGCAUAAGGGCCGGCUAAUCCCGUGCCCGCAGCCGCGGUAAUGCGGAAGGCCCGAGCGUUAUCCGGAUUCAUGGGGCUUAACGGGAGCGUAGGCGGGCGUUCAAGUCAGCUGUAAAAUCGGGCGGCUCAACCGCGCCCCGCAGUUGAAACUGGACGCCUUGAGGUCACAACAGGCAGGCGGAAUUCGGGGUGUAGCGGUGAAAUGGAUAGAU